GUCUCUGGGCAGUACACUUAAUGCACUCAGCUGUUAACUGAAAGAUUGGAGGUUCAAGUCCACCCAGAGUCA
RNAcentral lists this transfer RNA (72 nucleotides) under Loxodonta africana (African savanna elephant). It matches the Rfam family "tRNA". Rfam says of the family: Transfer RNA (tRNA) molecules are approximately 80 nucleotides in length. The record is from Rfam by way of RNAcentral. Lineage: Eukaryota; Metazoa; Chordata; Mammalia; Proboscidea; Elephantidae.